RNAcentral lists this long non-coding RNA (873 nucleotides) under Rattus norvegicus (Norway rat). RNAcentral describes it as "long non-coding RNA NONRATT004104". The record is from RNAcentral. Lineage: Eukaryota; Metazoa; Chordata; Mammalia; Rodentia; Muridae.
ACGCCGGGAUGUGAGUUCAUGCCCACUGUCAACAGCCUUUCAUAAUACUUUUCUUCCCUACCAUGUCCCACCAUCGGUGUCAAGGUAUUAUCAAAAAACCUUUGAAGCACCACCAAACCCACUGCCUGUCCCUAGGCAGGUGUGGCAUGUUUUUGGUGCCCCCAGUCCUGAGGCUGCUGUGGCCAGGCCAAUGGGAGGUCAGGCCUUGUCAAAGCACUUUGUAAACCGAGGAAUUAGACGUUAUAAAUUGUAUAAGCUGCUUUCUAGGUCAUGGUUUUUAAUAUGCGAUAACAUGAAGCUUUAUAAGUAUACUGUGAACUUGAAGUUUCCUAUCAGUUUGUGGUUAACUCAUAGUAAUGGUAACUCUGUUAGAUUUCAUAUUCUGAAACUAUUUAGGAAAGGAACAUUUAUCUAGUAGUGAAGAACUAGAAUUUUUACAUUUUAAAAUUAAGUGCAAACAAAUAGUAUUUAUAAGCAGAGAGUGGUUAUUGAAAGACACAUAUACAUUUAGAUGUUCUUAAUUUUAUGGAAGGAACUAAUUUUCCUAAACAUGUGCUGGUGCACAUGUAGGUGGAGUUUUAUAUUCCAGUAUCAGAGUGAUAUCCAGAACUGUCACGCACUUAUGUGAUCCGUGGCCACUUCCAAGUGCCUGUGCCUUGCAAGAGAAGUGAAGAAUUGGUUCAUUGGGUUUUCUCUUCUCCCUCGAAAGACAAUUUCAUGCUAAUGAAAAAUGCAGCAGAGGAAUCAGACGUUCAGAGGAGUCCAAGGUCUACUCGGGGAGGAGCUGUGCUCUGAUGUCCUGUCUGUAAUGGCAACGGUGCUUUGUGACCUCUGCGUCGCCUGGGGCGCCCCAGCUUGUGCUGAACAAAGGGG